This 660-nucleotide ribosomal RNA is filed under the name Triticum aestivum (bread wheat). RNAcentral's name for it is "partial small subunit ribosomal RNA". Lineage: Eukaryota; Viridiplantae; Streptophyta; Magnoliopsida; Poales; Poaceae. The record is from RNAcentral.
AUGAUGAUCAAGAAGGACCACCUGGUCCUCGUAGCUCUCCUCGUGUCCAUUCAACAUGAUUGGGCGAAUGGCGCCUCAAGAACAAGAGAAUGGCGCAACCUUGUCAACUCGCCGGCAUUGCCACCAUACCAAGACUUGGUAGGAGGAGCCGGGCCUCCAACCCCCGCACACGACAUCCAGCCAUCGCCGCCGUAUUGCGCGUACCCUCCCCCUGCCAACCCCACCUCGCCGGCGGCGCCGUCGAUGCCCCCUCCAGCCGGUGUGCUGCCACCGUCCACGGCACCGGUCGGCAACCCCACCCCACCAGCCAACGCACCGGCGAGCCCCCGCGUGGCCCCACCGGCUGGUGCUCCCCGGGCGGGAGGCCCGGCAGCCAUCGGUGCGCCGCAGGGGCUGUGGUGUGUGGCGAACCCGACGGUGGAGAGCGUGGACGUGCAGGCGGCGAUGGACUACGCGUGCGGGUCGGGCACCGACUGCGGCAUGGCGGCGCCCGGCGGGCCGUGCUACCUGCCAGACACGCUGAUGGCGCUUGCUUCCUUCGCCUUCAACAGCUACUGGCAGCGCAACAAGGCCGCCGGCGGCACCUGCGACUUCGCCGGCUCCGCCAUGCUCAUCACCAAAGACCCCAGUUAUGAUGAGUGCCGGUAUGUGUACAUGUGA